Molecule: ribosomal RNA, 434 nt
Filed under: uncultured Oscillospiraceae bacterium
Lineage: Bacteria; Bacillati; Bacillota; Clostridia; Eubacteriales; Oscillospiraceae
Description: bacterial SSU rRNA
Rfam family: Bacterial small subunit ribosomal RNA
Source: RNAcentral
ACGGGAGGCAGCAGUGGGGAAUAUUGCACAAUGGGGGAAACCCUGAUGCAGCGACGCCGCGUGAGUGAAGAAGUUAUUCGUAAUGUAAAGCUCUAUCAGCAGGGAAGAAAAUGACGGUACCUGACUAAGAAGCCCCGGCUAACUACGUGCCAGCAGCCGCGGUAAUACGUAGGUGGCAAGCGUUAUCCGGAUUUACUGGGUGUAAAGGGCGCGUAGGCGGAGCGGCAAGUCAGAUGUGAAAUCUAUGGGCUUAACCCAUAAACUGCAUUUGAAACUGUCGCCCUUGAGUGUCGGAGAGGUAGACGGAAUUCCUAGUGUAGCGGUGAAAUGCGUAGAUAUUAGGAGGAACGCCAGUGGCGAAGGCGGUCUACUGGACGAUAACUGACGCUGAGGCGCGAAAGCGUGGGGAGCAAACAGGAUUAGAUACCCUGGUA